ACCCGGAGAACUGAAACAUCUUAGUACCCGGAGGAAGAGAAAGAAAAUUCGAUUCCCUUAGUAGCGGCGAGCGAAACGGGAAGAGCCCAAACCAACAAGCUUGCUUGUUGGGGUUGUAGGACACUCUAUACGGAGUUACAAAGGACGACAUUAGACGAAUCAUCUGGAAAGAUGAAUCAAAGAAGGUAAUAAUCCUGUAGUCGAAAAUGUUGUCUCUCUUGAGUGGAUCCUGAGUACGACGGAGCACGUGAAAUUCCGUCGGAAUCUGGGAGGACCAUCUCCUAAGGCUAAAUACUCUCUAGUGACCGAUAGUGAACCAGUACCGUGAGGGAAAGGUGAAAAGCACCCCGGAAGGGGAGUGAAAUAGAACCUGAAACCGUGUGCUUACAAGUAGUCAGAGCCCGUUAAUGGGUGAUGGCGUGCCUUUUGUAGAAUGAACCGGCGAGUUACGAUUUGAUGCAAGGUUAAGCAGUAAAUGUGGAGCCGUAGCGAAAGCGAGUCUGAAUAGGGCGUUUAGUAUUUGGUCGUAGACCCGAAACCAGGUGAUCUACCCUUGGUCAGGUUGAAGUUCAGGUAACACUGAAUGGAGGACCGAACCGACUUACGUUGAAAAGUGAGCGGAUGAACUGAGGGUAGCGGAGAAAUUCCAAUCGAACCUGGAGAUAGCUGGUUCUCUCCGAAAUAGCUUUAGGUCUAGCCUCAAGUGAUGAUUAUUGGAGGUAGAGCACUGUUUGGACGAGGGGCCCCUCUCGGGUUACCGAAUUCAGACAAACUCCGAAUGCCAAUUAAUUUAACUUGGGAGUCAGAACAUGGGUGAUAAGGUCCGUGUUCGAAAGGGAAACAGCCCAGACCACCAGCUAAGGUCCCAAAAUAUAUGUUAAGUGGAAAAGGAUGUGGCGUUGCCCAGACAACUAGGAUGUUGGCUUAGAAGCAGCCAUCAUUUAAAGAGUGCGUAAUAGCUCACUAGUCGAGUGACACUGCGCCGAAAAUGUACCGGGGCUAAACAUAUUACCGAAGCUGUGGAUUGUCCUUUGGACAAUGGUAGGAGAGCGUUCUAAGGGCGUUGAAGCAUGAUCGUAAGGACAUGUGGAGCGCUUAGAAGUGAGAAUGCCGGUGUGAGUAGCGAAAGACGGGUGAGAAUCCCGUCCACCGAUUGACUAAGGUUUCCAGAGGAAGGCUCGUCCGCUCUGGGUUAGUCGGGUCCUAAGCUGAGGCCGACAGGCGUAGGCGAUGGAUAACAGGUUGAUAUUCCUGUACCACCUAUAAUCGUUUUAAUCGAUGGGGGGACGCAGUAGGAUAGGCGAAGCGUGCGAUUGGAUUGCACGUCUAAGCAGUAAGGCUGAGUAUUAGGCAAAUCCGGUACUCGUUAAGGCUGAGCUGUGAUGGGGAGAAGACAUUGAGUCUUCGAGUCGUUGAUUUCACACUGCCGAGAAAAGCCUCUAGAUAGAAAAUAGGUGCCCGUACCGCAAACCGACACAGGUAGUCAAGAUGAGAAUUCUAAGGUGAGCGAGCGAACUCUCGUUAAGGAACUCGGCAAAAUGACCCCGUAACUUCGGGAGAAGGGGUGCUCUUUAGGGUUAACGCCCAGAAGAGCCGCAGUGAAUAGGCCCAAGCGACUGUUUAUCAAAAACACAGGUCUCUGCUAAACCGUAAGGUGAUGUAUAGGGGCUGACGCCUGCCCGGUGCUGGAAGGUUAAGAGGAGUGGUUAGCUUCUGCGAAGCUACGAAUCGAAGCCCCAGUAAACGGCGGCCGUAACUAUAACGGUCCUAAGGUAGCGAAAUUCCUUGUCGGGUAAGUUCCGACCCGCACGAAAGGCGUAACGAUUUGGGCACUGUCUCAACGAGAGACUCGGUGAAAUCAUAGUACCUGUGAAGAUGCAGGUUACCCGCGACAGGACGGAAAGACCCCGUGGAGCUUUACUGUAGCCUGAUAUUGAAAUUCGGCACAGCUUGUACAGGAUAGGUAGGAGCCUUUGAAACGUGAGCGCUAGCUUACGUGGAGGCGCUGGUGGGAUACUACCCUAGCUGUGUUGGCUUUCUAACCCGCACCACUUAUCGUGGUGGGAGACAGUGUCAAGCGGGCAGUUUGACUGGGGCGGUCGCCUCCUAAAAGGUAACGGAGGCGCUCAAAGGUUCCCUCAGAAUGGUUGGAAAUCAUUCAUAGAGUGUAAAGGCAUAAGGGAGCUUGACUGCGAGACCUACAAGUCGAGCAGGGUCGAAAGACGGACUUAGUGAUCCGGUGGUUCCGCAUGGAAGGGCCAUCGCUCAACGGAUAAAAGCUACCCCGGGGAUAACAGGCUUAUCUCCCCCAAGAGUUCACAUCGACGGGGAGGUUUGGCACCUCGAUGUCGGCUCAUCGCAUCCUGGGGCUGUAGUCGGUCCCAAGGGUUGGGCUGUUCGCCCAUUAAAGCGGUACGCGAGCUGGGUUCAGAACGUCGUGAGACAGUUCGGUCCCUAUCCGUCGUGGGCGUAGGAAAUUUGAGAGGAGCUGUCCUUAGUACGAGAGGACCGGGAUGGACAUACCUCUGGUGUACCAGUUGUCGUGCCAACGGCAUAGCUGGGUAGCUAUGUGUGGACGGGAUAAGUGCUGAAAGCAUCUAAGCAUGAAGCCCCCCUCAAGAUGAGAUUUCCCAACUUCGGUUAUAAGAUCCCUCAAAGAUGAUGAGGUUAAUAGGUUCGAGGUGGAAGCAUGGUGACAUGUGGAGCUGACGAAUACUAAUCGAUCGAAGACUUAAUCAA
RNAcentral lists this ribosomal RNA (2739 nucleotides) under Staphylococcus aureus DAR3616. RNAcentral describes it as "bacterial LSU rRNA". It matches the Rfam family "Bacterial large subunit ribosomal RNA". The record is from RNAcentral. Lineage: Bacteria; Bacillati; Bacillota; Bacilli; Caryophanales; Staphylococcaceae.